RNAcentral lists this transfer RNA (90 nucleotides) under Candidatus Peribacter sp. RNAcentral describes it as "tRNA-Ser". It matches the Rfam family "tRNA". Rfam says of the family: Transfer RNA (tRNA) molecules are approximately 80 nucleotides in length. The record is from RNAcentral. Lineage: Bacteria; Candidatus Peregrinibacteriota; Candidatus Peribacteria; Candidatus Peribacterales.
GGAGGGGUGGCAGAGUGGUCGAAUGCAACGGUCUUGAAAACCGUCAGGCCCGCAAGGGUCUCGGGGGUUCGAAUCCCCCUCUCUCCGCCA